Molecule: transfer RNA, 73 nt
Filed under: Chloroflexota bacterium
Lineage: Bacteria; Bacillati; Chloroflexota
Description: tRNA-Ile
Rfam family: tRNA
About the family: Transfer RNA (tRNA) molecules are approximately 80 nucleotides in length.
Source: RNAcentral
GGCUCUGUAGCUCAGUGGAAGAGUAUCCCUCUGAUAAGGGGAAGGUCGCUGGUUCAACUCCGGCCAGAGCUAC